RNAcentral lists this small RNA (576 nucleotides) under Pongo abelii (Sumatran orangutan). RNAcentral's name for it is "retained intron". Lineage: Eukaryota; Metazoa; Chordata; Mammalia; Primates; Hominidae. The record is from RNAcentral.
AUUGUGUGGUCGUCUUUGGAAUAUGGUUUUGCUUUUCCUUUACUUGCAUGUGAAAUAGUUACUCUGAAUACUUAGAGCUAUUUAAAAGCUUAUUACUUAAUAUUUAUGGAGUCAGUUGGUAGAAAUGUAUGAUACAGUUUCUGUUAUCUUUUGUGUUUUACCUUAGAGAGAAUGAAUGGAAACCAGCUGAUAUAUUCAGUACUUUGGGGGAAAGGGAACGUGAUAGAAGUUUGUUGGAAGCAAAAAAAGCCCAGUGGAGGAAAGAGCUAGAUGAACAGGUUGCUUUAAAGAAGAAAGAAAAAGAAGUUUCUGAAAAAUGGAAUGAUCCUUGGAAAAAAUCUGAAAGUGAUAAAAUAAUAUGGGAAAAACAUCAAAUUCUUGACCAAUCUAGGCUCUUCAAGCAUUCUAUCACAGUCUCGUAGCCAGGUUAUGGUGGUCCAAGCUGAUGGGUCAUUCACUUCUUAGAGCUAGUCAGACUUUAGAGGAAACAGUACUGCUGGAGCACGCUUUCAGUGCUGUGAAACAAGAACUGCAGAGAAAAUGGAUUGAAGAGUUGAAUAAGCAAAUAGAAGAUGA